GUGAGUGCUUGUAUGUUUCAUUUUCAUAAGCAAUGUUUACUUGCUUCAGAACAAAUAUGCUAAGUUGAAGUCCAUUAUGCGCAGCAUUGGGAGAUUGGAAUUUACAGCCUGUGUUUAAGAUGCCAACUGAAAUCGAAUCUGUUGAGAACAUUCCAGAGUUCAUUAAGGGUGUGAAGAGCAGGAAGCAAAAGAUGUCAGGUUUUGGCCAUCGCAUGUACAAGAACUAUGAUCCUAGAGCAAAGGUCAUAUGAAAGCUGGCAGAUGAAGUAUUUUCCAUGGUUAAAAGGGAUCCACUGAUUGGGGUAGCUGUUGCUUUGAAGAAAGCUCAGUAUCUGACGAGUAUUUUGUUAAGAGAAAGCAGGUAGUUUUGACGGUUUUAUUCCCGAUGCUUUUGAAUCAGCUCCGCCUCACCGGCAUCUACUUGGUUGGCGAGCAGUUGUACAACUGCGUCAUCUCUCCUCACUCCUUUUCUGACUGAAUUAAUUGCAGAUUGGCUGCUCAGCAAGAGGAACGAAGUCUGGAGUUUGUCAUCUUUCAUAUUUCAAUAAAAAGUAUUCGUUUGACUAGAGCCUUAUUUGAAGGCUGUGAAAUUUUUAUCUAGAGAUUUGUCAUGUUGCUACUCUACCCCUGAAUGGCUACACGUUUGACAGUUGCAUAAGUUGAGAACUUCGAUAAGACCAUCUCUGAGCAGGGCAUGACCUUCAGAACUCCUUGGAAUUGCUUUGAAUCAUGGGGCACAAUUCUGUCUUCACGAAUGUGAAUCAGACUCCAUAAUGUGGCUUAAUACACUUUCACAUCAGAUGGCUUUAUGAAACAAAGUUCCACAAAUCUCUUCACUGGAACCACUAUACAAAGCAUGUUUGAUAUUGGUGCUCACCACACUUUUGAGACACCAGAUUCAAAUGUGGAAUUGCAUACUCCAAAGUCUCCCAUCUACUUUUGGCCUAACCCGGUUUGAAACAGAAGAAUUAGGCGCUGACUUACAUUAACGUCAAUCUGCUCCAGAAUGCUUGCAACUUGGUUACUAGCUGACUCACAUUUCUUAGUAUCCUAGUUGAAUUAGGAAAGAGAAAGAAGGGUAUGUCUUGGAACAUUAUUUAACAUGGUCGUACAGGGCAAGUCUGUUGUGGUCGCAUGUGUAAAAGUUGGGGACCGUAUAAGCUACAUAGUUAUAACAAUUAACAUGUGAAUAAUAUUUUGUAAUGAUGAUGGCAUUAGCAUACAUGUGGUGGC
Rosa rugosa (rugosa rose) is the source of this 1233-nucleotide long non-coding RNA. RefSeq lists it as uncharacterized. The record is from RefSeq and is a predicted model, not a curated record. Lineage: Eukaryota; Viridiplantae; Streptophyta; Magnoliopsida; Rosales; Rosaceae. The transcript has 6 exons.